GAUUGGUAAAGUAACUUUAAGAUGAUCCGAAAGGUCAGCUAACAUUUGGUUGUGGUUUUUUUUCCUCUGCACCGUGGGUGUUCCCGGGUUCAUUGUUUUAGUUUUUUGAAGAGCAGAAGGAAGGUUAAAGAAGAAAUAUUCAGUCUAAAAGAUUGAUGAUUGGAAUCGGUUAUAGAAGGAGGAUGGUUCGACAGGUGACCUAACUUUUGUUUGUGUUUUUUUUCCUCUGCACCGUGGGUGUUCCUCUGGGUUCGGGGUUCAUUGUUUUGGUUUUUUGAGGAGCAGAAGGAAGGUUAGAGAAGCAGUAUUCAGUCUAAAAGAUUGAUCGUCAGAAUCGAUAAUAGAACGGGCUUAAGUUUUCUUUUUUUUCCCUUUGCAUCGUUGUAGUGAAUUAGUAUUUCAGUAGUUCUAUGAAAAUAAAAAAGAAUUAGCCAGUCUGUUAUUCAGGGUUGUAUUUGUUGAGUAAGCAGUGUAGUUUUAUAUGCUUGAGAAAGUCUUUAUUGGAGAGUUAUUUAAAAUUUGAAUCAUUGUAAUUGUUUGCUGUGUAAGUGCUGGUUAUUGUGGAAACUAUUUUUUAGUGGGUUAUUUUAGAUUAAUUUUUAGAGUAAGCAUUAAUGUUUUUUUUUUUUUUUUUAUAUUAUCUGAUAAAUUUGAAUUUUCUUUAGUAGAAGUUUUAGUCUUUAUUGUGUUAUAAUGGGCAGUAGCAUAUUUAAGUGAUUUGUCUAGUUUAAUAUUAAUAGGAAGUUUUUAGUUAGCACUUUAGGAAGCAUUGAAAUUAGAGGAAUUUAUUUUACCAUGAACAAUGAAAAUAUAUUUGAGAUUGCUGAAACUGUGAACUUAGUUUGUAUCACGUUGCAUAUGCAUUUCAUAUAUUUUCCCAAGAUAUGUGAAUAAUUUAAUGUGGUGAAGUUAUAAUUCCAUUAUUUGUUAAGGUUUUAUUGUUUUGAUAAUUUCUUUCGUUGCAAGUAUAUUUGAGUGGGUGUAAACUAUUUUUUUUUGUUGCAGUUAUAUAAUGAAUUCACAUUUUGAAGUUAACGAUAGAGAGUCAACAAUGUUUUCGAGUCGAUGCUCUCCAAGUAGGGUUGUGUCUGUCAUUAGUCAUUUUAAUAGCGACCAGAGAAGUUAAGUUAAAGAAAUUGGUUUUGGCAACUUACUAAGUUUAAGAAAGUGUAGUUUGAGAAGAAAUUUAAUUACUUGGUUGGUUGAUAAUUUUGAUUUAGGUGAGGGUAUUUGGAAUUUGAGUGGAAGUAUAGUUCAGAUGAAUAGCGAUUUAUUUUCUAAUGUUAUCAGGAUUUUUGAUGGUGGGGAACACCUAAUAGAUUCGAAGUAUGAUUAUUGUAAGGGGGUAGGAUAUUAAUAAGUUCGUUGGAGCAGAAGUUGAAGUGUAAUGGCAACACUGAUAUGGAAUUCAUCCAUCAAUUUUUGUUGUUUGUUGUGAGUGUGUUUCUAAUGCCUAACACAACAAUUUAUGUUGCUCGAGAGUAUGAGGUUCCAAUAUUAGCUAUUAAUGAUGUAGCCAGUGUUAGAAGAAUUAAUUUGGCUUCAAUGUCAUUUAAGUUUCUUGUAAUGGGUUUGUUUGGAUUGAACAGGAAGAGAUCAAACUUUGUUCGUGGUAGCUUAUAUUUUUUACAGGCUAGUAAAUGACAACUUAUAAUAGUGUUGCUAUAAUGUAAUGUGAAUUUUUUUUUUCAGUUUAUAUUUGUUUAAUAAUACUGUGUUUCUAUAUUAAAUGAUAGGUUCUCUUUCUGGAUCAUGUGCGAUGCAAUGUCCUAUUCGUAGACAAAAGUCUAUAUCCAAUGUCUUGGUGGUCUGAGUAUGAAACUAAUAGGAUGCUUGAGUGGGUUGAUACAAAUGGGGGAUUAGGUUCUUGUGAGAGAGCAAUGUGAUCAUGAACUUAGUGAAGCUAAGGGACUAAAACGAAAGAGCAUUGGUGAGCCGAGUUCAAUGAAAGGCGGCUAUGGUGAUUCCUUGAGUGAAGAAAAUUUCAGAUUGGCGUGAUACUUGUUUGGUCCUGAGAUGAUUGUAAGUUACAGUAAUGGAGAAUAGGAGUUCUCUCAGAAAAUGAACGGGUACGGACUUGUUUUUCGACCCUUGUUACAUUUCAAUUUGCACUAUUUAUAGUCGUGGAGAUGAGAAGGGCAGACAGUGGCACAAUGUUUCUUGAUCAGGCUAAAUUUCUGUAUAGUUGGAUGGAGGCAGGUUUCUGUCUCACCAAAUAUGGUAAUCCGACAUGUCCUAUUCAUUUAAAGGUAAGAGGAAAGGAAAGCUAGACCAGCCAUGAGUUGGAGAGCUUAGGUGGGGAAGUGUACAUAUGCGGCCGCUUGACCACCACAACCAAGGUUUCUCAGAAGAACUAGGGUUAAACCAUAUUUUUGCCACUUAGGUCAGCAUGUUCUAGCUUUUGAGUUGUAAUGACCAUUCUGGAACUGUAAACAACUUUGUAAACGUUUAUUAUGGGAUCACAUGUACAGCUUAACAUUUUAAAUGAAAUAUCAAUUAU
This is a long non-coding RNA of Humulus lupulus (European hop), 2500 nucleotides long. RefSeq lists it as uncharacterized. NCBI's taxonomy places the organism in Eukaryota, Viridiplantae, Streptophyta, Magnoliopsida, Rosales, Cannabaceae. The record is from RefSeq and is a predicted model, not a curated record. The transcript has 4 exons.